UUUUCUGCCCCAGGUGUCUGCGAUGCUGGGACGGGCACUUCUCAGGACGGUCCUGCUGCUCUGGCUGGCCAGGCUAACGCUUCAGGGAGGCACAGGGUAUAAACCUCUAGGUGGUGCUGCGGGUAGAGAGUCAAUGCCAUUAAAAGGUUAUGGCUUGUGGUCAAAGGCAGCCAGCAUUCACCCUUCCAGGUUCAAAGGACUUGGUCACGGAGUUGCACAUUCCCAACUGCCUGGUAACAGUGCAG
This is a non-coding RNA of Electrophorus electricus (electric eel), 245 nucleotides long. Lineage: Eukaryota; Metazoa; Chordata; Actinopteri; Gymnotiformes; Gymnotidae. The record is from RefSeq and is a predicted model, not a curated record.